CCAAUAGCGUAUAUUAAAGUUGUUGCAGUUAAAAAGCUCGUAGUUGAAUUUCGAGACCGGCUUACUGGUCGUGCUAUUGUACGUACUGGUAUAAUCGGUUUCUCCUUUCUGACGAACUAUAAUGCCAUUAAUUUGGUGUUAUAGGGAAUCAGGAAUGUUACUUUGAAAAAAUUAGAGUGUUUAAAGCAGGCUCACGCUUGAAUACAUUAGCAUGGAAUAACGGAAUAGUACGUUUGAUUCUAUUUUGUUGGUUUCUAGGAUCGACGUAAUGAUUAAUAGGGAUAGUUGGGGGCAUUAGUAUUCAAUUGUCAGAGGUGAAAUUCUUGGAUUUAUUGAAGACUAACUACUGCGAAAGCAUUUGCCAAGGAUGUUUUCAUUAAUCAAGAACGAAAGUUAGGGGAUCGAAGACGAUCAGAUACCGUCGUAGUCUUAACCAUAAACUAUGCCGACUAGGGAUCGGAUGAUGUUAAUUUUUUAAUGACUCAUUCGGCGCCUUACG
This 499-nucleotide ribosomal RNA is filed under the name uncultured Glomeromycotina. RNAcentral describes it as "partial small subunit ribosomal RNA". It matches the Rfam family "Eukaryotic small subunit ribosomal RNA", at positions 591 to 1092 of the family's 1831-position model. The record is from RNAcentral. Lineage: Eukaryota; Fungi; Glomeromycota.